UGUCCCUGACCUGGGUAGAGUGGCCCCUGGUUUGGUGGUGCUUGUCUCCUAUCAGUCAGCGAUAAAAUAACUCCUUGUUUAUCCCAGCGGGGCUUUUGGUCUGUGCUCAUGCUGGCUCAUGCCCAGGAUACAUGG
This is a small nucleolar RNA of Artibeus jamaicensis (Jamaican fruit-eating bat), 135 nucleotides long. RefSeq annotates it as small nucleolar RNA SNORA48. Lineage: Eukaryota; Metazoa; Chordata; Mammalia; Chiroptera; Phyllostomidae. The transcript has a single exon. The record is from RefSeq and is a predicted model, not a curated record.